CCAGUCUGCUCUGUAUAUACAGUGUAUGAGGCCCUGUAUAGGGGAUACAGCCAGUCUGCUCUGUAUAUACAGUGUAUGAGGCCCUGUAUAGGGGAUACGGCCAGUCUGCUCUGUAUAUACAGUGUAUGAGGCCCUGUAUAGGGGAUGUGACCAGUCUGCUCUGUAUAUACAGUGUAUGAGGCCCUGUAUAGGGGAUGUGACCAGUCUGCUCUGUAUAUACAGUGUAUGAGGCCCUGUAUAGGGGAUAUGACCAGUCUGCUCUGUAUAUACAGUGUAUGAGGCCCUGUAUCGGAGAUAUG
This is a non-coding RNA of Pelobates cultripes (western spadefoot toad), 299 nucleotides long. Lineage: Eukaryota; Metazoa; Chordata; Amphibia; Anura; Pelobatidae. The record is from the annotation of a GenBank genome assembly.